UAGUAGAGUUAAGGCUCUAGCCGAGCCGGUCAUGGAUGAAAAAAAGAUUUUGUCCCUGCUUGGUCUCUGUUUCCCAACACCUGUCUACCGCCUCAAAACUCCCGCGUCUUUCUUCUCGACACCUGGUCUACUAUCAUGUCUUCGCUGCGCAGAGAGGUGGAGAGAUUGAGAGAUAGCGAAGGAGGUGAUACUGUUUGUUGGCAUCUACGAUUCGUAUUCGAUCUUCCCUGUGUAAAUCUAGAAGUCUCUAUCUACACGGAGAGAGGCGUCUAUCUACAGUAAUAUUUGCUGAGCCAAAUUAUGGGGUUUACUGAUCGAUCAAAGCUGGAUAGAGUUUGGGUUCUUCUUGACGACGUUCAAUCUUCCGGAUUAUCAGGCACAUAGAAAAAGAGAGGAAGAAUAGGAUGGGGGAAGAAGGAAAAGAAGCAGAAGAGAGACCAAAAACUUUUGCUUGCUUGAGAGAAAACAAGUGGAAAGUAUUUUUUUGAUCUUAAAUUUUCUGAUUGAAAUUGUUUCUGGGUUUGAUUGUAGUGUGUUUCAAACAAGGAAAAGUAAAGUUUUUGUAGUGUGUUUGUUUUUGAUUGUUCACUUUAGAUAUGUGAAUUUGGGUUUGAUUUAUUGUUUUCUGAUCAGCAUCUUUUGUCAUUUCGAUAUCAACUAUUGGGAGGAUGAGACCCGUAUGAGAAUAUGGAUCCCAAAAUCAACUGGGCUUUAGAGCAGGCCUUCAAUUUGAAGCUUGAUUUCAGUGAGACUGGGGAUGAUUUUGUUGUUCUAAGACUGAUGCUCAGGAAAUGCUUUAAGGAGAGUUACAUCUUACAACCUGGAUAUGGGCUUUUGAACAUCAAGCCUGAAGCUCCACUGCAGAAGCUGCACUAAAUUUCUUUAUGACAUGCAUAUGGACUACACUGAUUUGAAUAAGGGAUUCAACAUGCUUUGGUCUUCCAUUUUUGUUCUCUAGACAAGAAUAAUCUUCUGUUCUGUAUAAGUUGAAUGCUCUUUCUCUACUGCAAGUUACUCAUGAGUUAUUGGUAGAAGACUCAUUGAGGCAGCCAAAAUGAGAGCUGGGAGUUACAGUGGAGAAAUAAAACGUGACUUAAGUGUGGAAUAGCCCUUACCGGAUGACAGAAUUUCCAUCACCUGAAGCUUUAUAACAUCAGAUUCCAGUGGGUUUGGACAAGGAACAGAUUUUUGGUAUGGCAAAAAAGGAGAUGGACUACAGGGUUGAGUUGUUCAACAAGUAAGUUUUAUGCAUUGUAUUUUAGUUGAUGUCACAAACGAGUAAUGGGGGUUUUUGCAAGUUAGUAUUUGAAUCCAAUUUCUUUUCUGUCUCAGCUCCAAUAGUUUGAGCAAUUAGUUCGGGUGCUUCUUUGCCAUGCACAUUGUCUUCCAUUCAUUCAUUUAUUUUGGCUUUUCACACUUGCUUCCUUCUAUUUCCAUUAGCUCUCAUACUUUAUUUGAUGAGCAUAUCUGAUCAUUGUACAGGACAACAUGGUUCAAUAAUACUUUCUGCACCUAUACUUCUAGCUGGUAUCGA
Long non-coding RNA from Rosa chinensis, 1534 nucleotides. RefSeq lists it as uncharacterized. The transcript has 5 exons. The record is from RefSeq and is a predicted model, not a curated record. NCBI's taxonomy places the organism in Eukaryota, Viridiplantae, Streptophyta, Magnoliopsida, Rosales, Rosaceae.